Molecule: ribosomal RNA, 1520 nt
Filed under: Listeria monocytogenes
Lineage: Bacteria; Bacillati; Bacillota; Bacilli; Caryophanales; Listeriaceae
Description: partial 23S ribosomal RNA
Rfam family: Bacterial large subunit ribosomal RNA
Source: RNAcentral
GGUUAAGUUAGAAAGGGCGCACGGUGGAUGCCUUGGCACUAGGAGCCGAAGAAGGACGGGACUAACACCGAUAUGCUUUGGGGAGCUGUACGUAAGCGUUGAUCCAGAGAUUUCCGAAUGGGGGAACCCACUAUCUUUAGUCGGAUAGUAUCCUUACGUGAAUACAUAGCGUAAGGAAGGCAGACCCAGGGAACUGAAACAUCUAAGUACCUGGAGGAAGAGAAAGAAAAAUCGAUUUCCUGAGUAGCGGCGAGCGAAACGGAAAGAGCCCAAACCAAGAAGCUUGCUUCUUGGGGUUGUAGGACACUCUAUACGGAGUUACAAAAGAAAGUUAUAAAUGAAGCGGUCUGGAAAGGCCCGCCAAAGACGGUAACAGCCCGGUAGUUGAAAUGGCUUUCCCUCCAGAGUGGAUCCUGAGUACGGCGGAACACGUGAAAUUCCGUCGGAAUCCGGGAGGACCAUCUCCCAAGGCUAAAUACUCCCUAGUGACCGAUAGUGAACCAGUACCGUGAGGGAAAGGUGAAAAGCACCCCGGAAGGGGAGUGAAACAGUUCCUGAAACCGUGUGCCUACAAGUAGUUAGAGCCCGUUAAUGGGUGAUAGCGUGCCUUUUGUAGAAUGAACCGGCGAGUUACGAUUUGUUGCAAGGUUAAGCGGAAAAAGCGGAGCCGUAGCGAAAGCGAGUCUGAAUAGGGCGCAUAAGUAACAGGUCGUAGACCCGAAACCAGGUGAUCUACCCAUGUCCAGGAUGAAGGUAAGGUAAUACUUACUGGAGGUCCGAACCCACGCACGUUGAAAAGUGCGGGGAUGAGGUGUGGGUAGCGGAGAAAUUCCAAUCGAACUUGGAGAUAGCUGGUUCUCUCCGAAAUAGCUUUAGGGCUAGCCUCGAGGUAAAGAGUCAUGGAGGUAGAGCACUGUUUGGACUAGGGGCCCUUCUCGGGUUACCGAAUUCAGAUAAACUCCGAAUGCCAUGUACUUAUACUCGGGAGUCAGACUGCGAGUGAUAAGAUCCGUAGUCGAAAGGGAAACAGCCCAGACCACCAGUUAAGGUCCCCAAAUAUAUGUUAAGUGGAAAAGGAUGUGGGGUUGCUUAGACAACCAGGAUGUUGGCUUAGAAGCAGCCACCAUUGAAAGAGUGCGUAAUAGCUCACUGGUCGAGUGACCCCGCGCCGAAAAUGUACCGGGGCUAAACAUAUUACCGAAACUGUGGAUGAACCUCUUCGGAGGUUCGUGGUAGGAGAGCGUUCUAAGGGCGGUGAAGUCAGACCGGAAGGACUGGUGGAGCGCUUAGAAGUGAGAAUGCCGGUAUGAGUAGCGAAAGAAGGGUGAGAAUCCCUUCCACCGAAUAUCUAAGGUUUCCUGAGGAAGGCUCGUCCGCUCAGGGUUAGUCGGGACCUAAGCCGAGGCCGAUAGGCGUAGGCGAUGGACAACAGGUAGAGAUUCCUGUACCAGUGCUAAUUGUUUAACCGAUGGGGUGACACAGAAGGAUAGGGAAUCGCACGAAUGGAAAUGUGCGUCCAA